Gossypium arboreum is the source of this 106-nucleotide small nucleolar RNA. It matches the Rfam family "Plant small nucleolar RNA R71". Rfam says of the family: R71 is a member of the C/D box family of snoRNAs containing the C (UGAUGA) and D (CUGA) box motifs. Multiple nearly identical copies of this snoRNA have been identified in Arabidopsis, and it is thought to function as a 2'-O-ribose methylation guide for 18S ribosomal RNA. NCBI's taxonomy places the organism in Eukaryota, Viridiplantae, Streptophyta, Magnoliopsida, Malvales, Malvaceae. The record is from Rfam.
AGUCCAUGAUGAGGACAUCUUCUCACAGACCCUUAAAUCUCUCCCAUGUAUCGUAAAGCGUCUCAAUGUCAAAUUAAGCAAAAGAAGAGAUGCCAUUCCUCAACUU